This 85-nucleotide transfer RNA is filed under the name Felis catus (domestic cat). It matches the Rfam family "tRNA". From Rfam's summary of the family: Transfer RNA (tRNA) molecules are approximately 80 nucleotides in length. Their secondary structure includes four short double-helical elements and three loops (D, anti-codon, and T loops). Further hydrogen bonds mediate the characteristic L-shaped molecular structure. tRNAs have two regions of fundamental functional importance: the anti-codon, which is responsible for specific mRNA codon recognition, and the 3' end, to which the tRNAs corresponding amino acid is attached (by aminoacyl-tRNA synthetases). tRNAs cope with the degeneracy of the genetic code in two manners: having more than one tRNA (with a specific anti-codon) for a particular amino acid; and 'wobble' base-pairing, i.e. permitting non-standard base-pairing at the 3rd anti-codon position. The record is from Rfam by way of RNAcentral. Lineage: Eukaryota; Metazoa; Chordata; Mammalia; Carnivora; Felidae.
GCUUGGGUGGCUCAGUUGGUUGGGCAUCCGACUUCAGCUCGGGUCAUAAUCUCACAGUCCGUGGGUUCGAGCCCCGCGUCGAGCU